UGCAGUCGAGGGGUAUUAGGAGCUUGCUCCUAAGAGACCGGCGCACGGGUGCGUAACGCGUAUGCAAUCUACCUUGUACAGAGGAAUAGCCCAGAGAAAUUUGGAUUAAUGCCUCAUAGUAUAUUGGGUCGGCAUCGACCUAUUAUUAAAGAUUUAUCGGUACGAGAUGAGCAUGCGUCCCAUUAGUUAGUUGGUAAGGUAACGGCUUACCAAGACGAUGAUGGGUAGGGGUCCUGAGAGGGAGAUCCCCCACACUGGUACUGAGACACGGACCAGACUCCUACGGGAGGCAGCAGUGAGGAAUAUUGGGCAAUGGAGGCAACUCUGACCCAGCCAUGCCGCGUGCAGGAAGACGGUCCUAUGGAUUGUAAACUGCUUUUAUACGGGAAGAAACACUCCGACGUGUCGGAACUUGACGGUACCGUAAGAAUAAGGAUCGGCUAACUCCGUGCCAGCAGCCGCGGUAAUACGGAGGAUCCAAGCGUUAUCCGGAAUCAUUGGGUUUAAAGGGUCCGUAGGCGGCCUUAUAAGUCAGUGGUGAAAUCUCCUAGCUCAACUAGGAAACUGCCAUUGAUACUGUAGGGCUUGAAUUAUUGUGAAGUAACUAGAAUAUGUAGUGUAGCGGUGAAAUGCUUAGAUAUUACAUGGAAUACCAAUUGCGAAGGCAGGUUACUAACAAUCGAUUGACGCUGAUGGACG
This 699-nucleotide ribosomal RNA is filed under the name uncultured bacterium. Its description in RNAcentral is "bacterial SSU rRNA". It matches the Rfam family "Bacterial small subunit ribosomal RNA", at positions 56 to 755 of the family's 1533-position model. The record is from RNAcentral.